UACGGGAGGCAGCAGCUACGGAAUAUUGCACAAUGNGGGAAACCCUGAUGCAGCGACGCCNCGUGAAGGAUGAAGAAUUUCNGUAUGUAAACUUCUAUCANCAAGGAAGAAAAUGACGGUACUUGACUAAGAAGCCCCGGCUAAAUACGUGCCANCAGCCGCGGUAAU
This 168-nucleotide ribosomal RNA is filed under the name uncultured rumen bacterium. RNAcentral describes it as "partial 16S ribosomal RNA". It matches the Rfam family "Bacterial small subunit ribosomal RNA", at positions 340 to 524 of the family's 1533-position model. The record is from RNAcentral.